RNAcentral lists this ribosomal RNA (739 nucleotides) under uncultured bacterium. Its description in RNAcentral is "bacterial SSU rRNA". It matches the Rfam family "Bacterial small subunit ribosomal RNA", at positions 644 to 1383 of the family's 1533-position model. The record is from RNAcentral.
GAGUGCAGAAGGGGAGAGNGGAAUUCCAUGUGUAGCGGUGAAAUGCGUAGAUAUAUGGAGGAACACCGGUGGCGAAAGCGGCUCUCUGGUCUGUAACUGACGCUGAGGCUCGAAAGCGUGGGGAGCGAACAGGAUUAGAUACCCUGGUAGUCCACGCNGUAAACGGUGAGUGCUAGGUGUUGGAUCCUUUCCGGGAUUCAGUGCCGCAGCUAACGCAUUAAGCACUCCGCCUGGGGAGUACGACCGCAAGGUUGAAACUCAAAGGAAUUGACGGAGGCCCGCACAAGCGGUGGAGCAAGUGGUUUAAUUCGAAGCAACGCGAAGAACCUUACCAGGUCUUGACAUCCCGAUGCUAUUUCUAGAGAUAGGAAGUUACUUCGGUACAUCGGUGACAGGUGGUGCAUGGUUGUCGUCAGCUCGUGUCGUGAGAUGUUGGGUUAAGNCNCGCAACGAGCGCAACCCCUAUUGUUAGUUGCCAUCAUUCAGUUGGGCACUCUAGCAAGACUGCCGGUAAUAAACCGGAGGAAGGUGGGGAUGACGUCAAAUCAUCAUGCCCCUUAUGACCUGGGCUACACACGUGCUACAAUGGUUGGUACAACGAGUUGCGAGUCGGUGACGGCGAGCUAAUCUCUUAAAGCCAAUCUCAGUUCGGAUUGUAGGCUGCAACUCGCCUACAUGAAGUCGGAAUCGCUAGUAAUCGCGGAUCAGCACGCCGCGGUGAAUACGUUCCCGGGCCUNG